GGUCUAUGAUUCUUUCUUUUAGUCUUGUAAAAACGUGGCAUAACAAAAAUGUCUCGUCACGCGGACGUUGAAAGUGAAAGAUGUGACGCCCGAUCAGACCAAAGGAUUCGCUUUUCAUACCGGAGGAUGUUGAAGCUCGUGAAAGAUUCACGGCACGUCCAAGAUUCUCUCGAUGCGUCACAUUAAGCGAGUUAUAAGGAUAUAUCCGAAGCGGCGCUAUCAAUAUCACGACGGCAGGAAGUCAGGAGAAAUCACUGUUACGCCUGAUCACUUCCGCUUUGACGAUAAAUCAGAAAACGCAUGGAGAGACAGAUUUGUUAUGCAGAGAAGCAAUAUUUCAUCUAGAAAUUGCGAACGUAGCGGAAUUUCUAUAUUUAAUCGAUGAUCAAUAAAAAAUUAGGACAUGCAACUUUUUAAUUUCAAGCUUCGAAAGAUCAUUAGACAUUCUCUGUUAAUCUUACUAAAUGAAAUUGGCAAAUAGAAUUACCGCGAGACGAAGCAAAAUUUUACCUGGCGUGUUACAAAAUAUUACAAUUGCUCCAAUUUCAAGAAGACCAACGGAUCUCCAUAUUCCACCAAGCCUUACAAGUUUCAAGCGAUAGAAAAUGAUUCCACCAUGGAGUUAAUCGAGCUGGCUAGAUCGUUCCACUUUGUUCAAUUGAAUGUAGACCCUCAGGAGCUG
RNAcentral lists this unclassified non-coding RNA (682 nucleotides) under Bombus terrestris (buff-tailed bumblebee). Its description in RNAcentral is "misc RNA ENSBTSG00005036001.1". Lineage: Eukaryota; Metazoa; Arthropoda; Insecta; Hymenoptera; Apidae. The record is from RNAcentral.